RNAcentral lists this transfer RNA (64 nucleotides) under Xylotrechus grayii. RNAcentral's name for it is "tRNA-Glu". Lineage: Eukaryota; Metazoa; Arthropoda; Insecta; Coleoptera; Cerambycidae. The record is from RNAcentral.
AUUUAUAUAGUUUAAAAAAAAACAUUACAUUUUCAUUGUAAAAUUAGAAUUUUUCUUAUAAAUA